This 465-nucleotide ribosomal RNA is filed under the name Vreelandella stevensii. Its description in RNAcentral is "partial 16S ribosomal RNA". It matches the Rfam family "Bacterial small subunit ribosomal RNA", at positions 338 to 795 of the family's 1533-position model. Lineage: Bacteria; Pseudomonadati; Pseudomonadota; Gammaproteobacteria; Oceanospirillales; Halomonadaceae. The record is from RNAcentral.
CCUACGGGUGGCAGCAGUGGGGAAUAUUGGACAAUGGGGGGAACCCUGAUCCAGCCAUGCCGCGUGUGUGAAGAAGGCCCUCGGGUUGUAAAGCACUUUCAGUGAGGAAGAACGCCUGGUGGUUAAUACCCAUCAGGAAAGACAUCACUCACAGAAGAAGCACCGGCUAACUCCGUGCCAGCAGCCGCGGUAAUACGGAGGGUGCGAGCGUUAAUCGGAAUUACUGGGCGUAAAGCGCGCGUAGGUGGCUUGAUAAGCCGGUUGUGAAAGCCCCGGGCUCAACCUGGGAACGGCAUCCGGAACUGCCAAGCUAGAGUGCAGGAGAGGAAGGUAGAAUUCCCGGUGUAGCGGUGAAAUGCGUAGAGAUCGGGAGGAAUACCAGUGGCGAAGGCGGCCUUCUGGACUGACACUGACACUGAGGUGCGAAAGCGUGGGUAGCAAACAGGAUUAGAUACCCCAGUAGUC